GUGGGGAAUAUUGGACAAUGGGCGCAAGCCUGAUCCAGCAAUGCCGCGUGGGUGAAGAAGGUCUUCGGAUCGUAAAGCCCUUUCGACAGGGACGAUGAUGACGGUACCUGUAGAAGAAGCCCCGGCUAACUUCGUGCCAGCAGCCGCGGUAAUACGAAGGGGGCUAGCGUUACUCGGAAUUACUGGGCGUAAAGGGCGCGUAGGCGGCUCUGUUAGUCAGGGGUGAAAUUCCUGGGCUUAACCUGGGGACUGCGCUUGAGACUGCAGGGCUUGAGGCCGAGAGAGGGUGGUGGAAGUCCCGGUGUGGAGGUGAAAUUCGUAGAUAUAGGAAGAACACCGGUGGCGAAGGCGACCACCUGGCUCGGUACUGACGCUGAGGCGCGACAGCGUGGGGAGCAAACAGGAUUAGAAACCCUUGUAGUCC
Molecule: ribosomal RNA, 424 nt
Filed under: uncultured bacterium
Lineage: Bacteria
Description: partial 16S ribosomal RNA
Rfam family: Bacterial small subunit ribosomal RNA
Source: RNAcentral